RNAcentral lists this ribosomal RNA (322 nucleotides) under uncultured Imbricatea. RNAcentral's name for it is "SSU rRNA". It matches the Rfam family "Eukaryotic small subunit ribosomal RNA", at positions 634 to 955 of the family's 1831-position model. The record is from RNAcentral. Lineage: Eukaryota; Cercozoa; Imbricatea.
GAUUUCUGGCUUAAGACGCCUAGCCCGCCGAGGUUACUCGUGUGAGUGCCGGUGUGUCUUUGCCAUCCUUCUGGAAAAUAAUUCUACCCUUAAUUGGGACGGGAUUAUAAUCUAGAUCUUUUACUUUGAAAAAAUUAGAGUGUUUAAAGCAGGCUUGCGCUAUGAAUACAUUAGCAUGGAAUAAUAAUUUAGGACUUUGGUUCUAUUUUGUUGGUUUCUAGGACUGAAGUAAUGAUUGAUAGGGAUAGUUGGGGGUGCUAGUAUUCAGUGGCCAGAGGUGAAAUUCUUGGAUUCACUGAAGACUAACUUCUGCGAAAGCAUU